This 585-nucleotide ribosomal RNA is filed under the name uncultured bacterium. RNAcentral describes it as "bacterial SSU rRNA". It matches the Rfam family "Bacterial small subunit ribosomal RNA", at positions 338 to 916 of the family's 1533-position model. The record is from RNAcentral.
CCUACGGGAGGCAGCAGUGGGGAGUUUUGGACAAUGGGGGCAACCCUGAUCCAGCAAUGCCGCGUGAGUGAAGAAGGCCUUCGGGUUGUAAAGCUCUUUUGUCAGGGAAGAAACGGUUCUGGCUAAUAUCUGGAACUAAUGACGGUACCUGAAGAAUAAGCACCGGCUAACUACGUGCCAGCAGCCGCGGUAAUACGUAGGGUGCAAGCGUUAAUCGGAAUUACUGGGCGUAAAGCGUGCGCAGGCGGUUUUGUAAGACAGAUGUGAAAUGCCCGGGCUUAACCUGGGAACUGCAUUUGUGACUGCAAGGCUAGAGUGUGUCAGAGGGGGGUAGAAUUCCACGUGUAGCAGUGAAAUGCGUAGAUAUGUGGAGGAAUACCGAUGGCGAAGGCAGCCCCCUGGGAUAACACUGACGCUCAUGCACGAAAGCGUGGGGAGCAAACAGGAUUAGAUACCCUGGUAGUCCACGCCCUAAACGAUGUCUACUAGUUGUCGGGUCUUAAUUGACUUGGUAACGCAGCUAACGCGUGAAGUAGACCGCCUGGGGAGUACGGUCGCAAGAUUAAAACUCAAAGGAAUAGACGG